CUGCAGCUUGCCGGCGCGGGCCGCCCACCAAGAGGAGGGCCAUUUCGGCCGGGCCCCGGGGGACUCCUCCCUCCGCGCCUCCCCACCCAGCCGCUGGCGAGGCCGCUGUGGCGAGUCCCCCGAAUCCCCGCCGUCCCGGUGCAGUAGCUCCGUUUGAGUCCCAGAUGGCCCCAUGAGGCGGUUGUCACUGCACCGCUGGCCACUGGGAGCAGGGCGGCGUGAGCCUAGGCAGCUGGCUGCAGAACGCCCUUCAGCCCUGGGCUCCAAUGCUGUCCCCAAAUCAUCCCUCCCCCAAACGCCUUAGGCAGGGACAGGCGCCCGGAGCUGAGAGCCCGAGGUUGCUCCACCCCAAGGGGUAGGAAGAGCAAGAAGAGGAGGGUGAUCUUAGCGCCCACUGAGUGCCCUGUGUCCCCCCCAGGGCUUCCUCAGCAGCCGCGGGUCCCACUCGGGUCCCACGCUUGGGAGGACACCGGCAUUUCAGCCGAUAGCAGCCUCGUUACACCACUCUUUUGAGCUGGGUGCCUUCCGUACCUUGUCCAACUCUGAGGAAGGUACUGCUGUCCUGGGUUAGGACCCGACAGGGUAAGGAACCUGCCAGAUGAGUGUUAAAGCUGAGAUCCAGAAAGCAUUGGGGAUUUUAAAAGCCCUGCAGAUUUUCUCAGGGGUGUAAAUAAAAGCAUUAAAAUGUGCUAAGUGGUUACAGAAACUCAUUUAUGCAUAAAUAUGAGUGAGACCCUGGAGUACACAGCAGUGUGUCAAAAGGCAUGACCGCCCUUUGCCGAAGCUGACAGUAAGUGGUGAGUGCCAUGGUGGAAAGAAAAUAAUGACCCAGGAGAGACUUUUAGGGUUACUUUAGAUAACAUGGUCCAGAAUGGCCCUUGUCAGAUAUUAGUGCUGAUGUUGCUGCUUUAUGAAGACUUGAAGGUAGUGUACUCUAGGUAUGCUAGAGGGUGUGGUGACUGUAAAGGCUGUGAAAUGAGAAUUAGAUAAAGCCCCUCUUUUCAUGGAGUUUGCCAGUUGAGUACCAUAGAGGUUAACAUCAUGUAGGCUGAAGAGUGGCCUCCCAAAAUUCAUACAGUGAAGUCCUAGCCCCCAGUACCUCAGAAUGUGACUGUAUUUGGAGAUAAUGGCCUUUAAAAAAGUGAUUAAGUUUAAAUGAGGUGCGAAUGGUGGAUCCUAACCCAAUUGACUGGUAUCUUUGAUAGGUUCAAACCCAGGGCCUUAUGCAUGCUAGGCAAGUGCCCUACCAAUGAGCUACAUCCCCGGCCCCAGUGUCCUUAUAAGAAGAGAAAAUUUAAACACCCAGAUGCCAGAGGAAUGUGUGAAUAAAGGAAAGGCCUUCUUCAAGCCAAGGAGAGAGAUUAGGAGAAGCCAGACCUAUCAACACCUUGGUCUUAACUGUGAGAAAAUGGAUAAAAGGCACCCAGUCUGUAGAAUUUUGUUAUGGUGAUCCUAGUAAACUAAUACACCACAUAAUUAGCUAUAGAUUACAGUUAGGAGAAAAGCAUGAAGUUCAUGAGAUGGUAUGACAAAGGUACCUAAACCAUUUUGGCCUGGAAAAGAAGUCUCCUAAAUGGUGUGAACUUUAAGCUGAGAUUGGAAAGAAGAGGAGUUAGCUGGCUGGAAUAAUCUAGUUGUUCCCAUUCAUGUGCUGUGAUGAUACCAUCCAUUCACUGAACUCUACAUCUUGUAAAACUGAAACUCUGUACCUAUUAUAGAGUAACCCUUCAACCUCUUUCAACCACUGUUUUGCCAUCUUAAUUUGGCUCCUGAUAGGAUUUUGAAGGAAGUGCUGUGGGAGCACAGGUGGAAGAAGGAGCUCAGUUUGUCAUCUGUAUCCAGGAAACCAGGAGGUGACUGUGAGCCAGAUUUUGAAGGAUGAGCACGUGUUUUGCUGGCUUAAGAAGAGGAAAACAGCAUUCCUGGCAUAUACAAGAGCACAUGUACAGCCAGCUAAGGAUGCACCACGCCUUCCCUGCGCACUUUUGCUGUUGUCAGUCUAUUUGAAUACUGGAUUUUGAUUUGUUUUCCUGAGACACUGAUGUUAUCAUGUCACUCCUUGACUCCAAAAUUUACAACAUCUGCUGUUGUCAGUUAGAUAAAGGUCAAAUUCUUCAACUUGCCACUCAGAAUUCUAUAUUUUUAUUUCACUAUGAAAAUACUGAAAGUGAAUCCCCAAAGUCUCUUUCUACCUUUUAAAAUGUAAUAAACGAAAAGUGAUUUAAGAGUAAUAGUGUAAUUUUAACUUUGAAUUAAACUCCCUGACAGGGAAGAUAACUCCUUGAUCUCCCCAUGCUACUGAAUUAUAGAACACAGAGGAUAGUUGUCACACUCAAUAAUGUGUUAGCCUGUUGUAGGUACACAGCAAAGGAAACAUUGUUUUGGAGUAAGAAAUAUUUUGGAUAGGUCUCCUCACAGUUCUAAGUCAUUCCAUAGUGGAAUUUGUUGGAAGUGUGAGAGCCUCCAAUUCCAGUCAAGAGAGGGUUCCAUGUAGCUACACAAUAGAAUAGACCUGGUCACAUAUAGCCACAUAGCACUUGAAAUGUGGCUAGUCAGCUGAGGAACUGAAUAUUUUUAGCUAAUUUAAGUUUAAAAUAUAAAAUGGUUUUCUGUAUUCAUAGCUUUAUUGUUUUGGAAGGACUACAUUUCACUUUAACCUUUGAAAAUUUAGCAUCUGACUUGAGAUGUAUACUGAGUGUAAACAACAUUACCACAUUUCAAAAACUUAGGCUGAAAAAAGUAAAAUUUCUCAGUGUAUUUUCAUAGUGAUUACAUAUUGAAAUAAUAGUUUGGAUAUUUUGGUUUAAAUAAAACAGUGUUAA
Molecule: long non-coding RNA, 2822 nt
Filed under: Marmota monax (woodchuck)
Lineage: Eukaryota; Metazoa; Chordata; Mammalia; Rodentia; Sciuridae
Source: RNAcentral